CGAACGCCGCGUGAGUGAGGAAGGCCUUCGGGUCGUAAAGCUCUGUUGCCAGGGAAGAAUAAGGGCUAGUUAACUGCUAGUCCGAUGACGGUACCUGAGAAGAAAGCCCCGGCUAACUACGUGCCAGCAGCCGCGGUAAUACGUAGGGGGCAAGCGUUGUCCGGAAUUAUUGGGCGUAAAGCGCGCGCAGGCGGUUCUUUAAGUCUGGUGUAUAAGUGCGGGGCUCAACCCCGUGAGGCACUGGAAACUGGAGAACUUGAGUGCAGAAGAGGAGAGCGGAAUUCCACGUGUAGCGGUGAAAUGCGUAGAGAUGUGGAGGAACACCAGUGGCGAAGGCGGCUCUCUGGACUGUAACUGACGCUGAGGCGCGAAAGCGUGGGGAGCAAACAGGAUUAGAUACCCUGGUAGUCCACGCCGUAAACGAUGAGUGCUAGGUGUUGGGGGGAUCGCCCCCUCGGUGCCGAAGUUAACACAUUAAGCACUCCGCCUGGGGAGUACGGUCGCAAGACUG
This 511-nucleotide ribosomal RNA is filed under the name uncultured Bacillota bacterium. RNAcentral's name for it is "bacterial SSU rRNA". It matches the Rfam family "Bacterial small subunit ribosomal RNA", at positions 391 to 896 of the family's 1533-position model. The record is from RNAcentral. Lineage: Bacteria; Bacillati; Bacillota.